UCUUAUCAUUUUUGUCAACCCAAAAUUACAAUAACUACUUUCUUGCAUUCUAUAUAUAACCAGCUUAGCUAGUACGUACCUACUGUCUGAAAUGGAGAAGAACAACAGCCUCUCAGUCCUCCACAGUCCAGCAGCAUAUGAGGAUCAGUUUAACGAAUAUCUCAACUCCAAAGUCCGCAACCACAACAGCAACAUCAGUCGCCAUGAUUUCCCUUCAAAUUUUAUCUUUGGAUCUGCGACAGCUGCUUAUCAGUUUGAAGGUGGUGCUGCAAAAGGUGGGAGGGGGCCUAGUAUCUGGGAUACUUUUGCCCUCAAGACUCCUGG
Sesamum indicum (sesame) is the source of this 324-nucleotide non-coding RNA. The record is from RefSeq and is a predicted model, not a curated record. Lineage: Eukaryota; Viridiplantae; Streptophyta; Magnoliopsida; Lamiales; Pedaliaceae.